AUGGGAAAAACAAUGAAGACACCCAUUGGAGCUUUAAUUGCAUUCUUGUGGCUGCAGCUGGACUGUGUCAGCCUUGGGAACAAGGUGGAGCAGAGUCCUUCCACCCUGAGUGUCCAGGAGGGAAACAGCUCUGUUAUCACCUGCACUUAUACAGAUGGUAACUCAGAGUAUUUCCCUUGGUAUAAGCAAGAACCUGGAAAAGGUCCCCAGCUCCUUAUAGCUAUUCGUUCAAAUAAAGACAAAGAGGAAGACCAGAAACUGACUGUUUUUUUGAACAAGACAGCCAAACGUCUCUCCCUGCACAUCGCAACCACUGAAGCUGGAGACUCGGCUGCCUAUUUCUGUGCAGCAAGAACACAGUGCUUCCCAGGCAUCUUCUGUCUGUACUCAAACCUGUGCCUGGGGCAGCCCCCUUCCUUUGGUGCAACCUUCAAAUAUGACAAAUGUUAUAUUGUCCAGUAUCCUGGAGAAGGUCCACAGCUCCUCCUGAAAGCCACGAAGGCCAACGACGACAAGGGAACCAACAAAGGUUUUUGA
Molecule: non-coding RNA, 537 nt
Organism: Capra hircus (goat)
Lineage: Eukaryota; Metazoa; Chordata; Mammalia; Artiodactyla; Bovidae
Source: the annotation of a RefSeq genome assembly